Molecule: long non-coding RNA, 240 nt
Filed under: Mytilus galloprovincialis (Mediterranean mussel)
Lineage: Eukaryota; Metazoa; Mollusca; Bivalvia; Mytilida; Mytilidae
Source: RNAcentral
AUAUAAAUAAAGAGAAAGAAUGACCUGUGGCGAUCCAGCAGGUGUAUUACAAUAUACAUAAAGAGAUUGAAUGACCUGUGGCGAUCCAGCAGGUGUAGUACAAUGUACAAUAUACAUAAAGAGAAUGAAUGACCUGUGGCGAUCCAGCAGGUGUAGUACGACCUGUGGCGAUCCAGCAGGUGUAGUACAAUAUACAUAAAGAGAAUGAAUGACCUGUGGCGAUCCAGCAGGUGUAGUACA